AUGCGAUGGGCGCCACGGCGCCGGAUGAAUUUGGUCCGCAGCCAGUUGUUCUGGCUUGACUCAAAGACAUUGCACACCUGCUUAUAUCAAAUUCUCAGACACCGGAAUGCCAGCCUUGGCUGGGGUCCCUCUUCAACCUCUGGGGACCCACCAUUUGCCUUACUGGCCUCGGGACACAUGCCGUGUUGGUGCCCUCCCUCUUCUCCAGGAACAAGCAGUCAUUCCUUAUACCAUGUCCCAUCCUGGAGUCCCUCCUCCAGUGUCCAGCCAACUCCACCCCAGAAUGAAGCCCUGAAGAGGGGAGUGAAGAACAGACUUCAGAGUGUACUUGUCACAUGCUCUGUGGGGUUCCAGAGACUCAAAACAGUGUCAGAACCAGUAGCCGGUGGGGAAAUCGCCACACAACUCCAUAGGCCUUGGAGAUCCUGUUAUCCCCAGAUGCAUCUUAAUGUCUGUUCUAUACCAGGCACUGACCUGGGUACUGCAAGAGAGAAAACAAUGGCUCGAUGGUGAGGAGGCCAGUGAGAUGGCUCAGCAGAACUCAGUACAGGACCAGCAAGAAGACUCCGCUGGGAAAAGUACUUGCCACCAAGUUUGAUGCUCUGAGUUUGAGCCCCAGGACUCAACACGACAGAAAGAGAAAACUGACUCCCCCAAGUUGUCCUCUGACUCUCAUAUAUAUACACCAUGGCAUGUGCAUAUGGGUGUAUGGAUAACACAUGUACACUAAAAUAAUUAAAAUGUAAAAUUUACAAAAAAAAAA
Long non-coding RNA from Mesocricetus auratus (golden hamster), 763 nucleotides. RefSeq lists it as uncharacterized. The record is from RefSeq and is a predicted model, not a curated record. The transcript is spliced from 4 exons. Lineage: Eukaryota; Metazoa; Chordata; Mammalia; Rodentia; Cricetidae.